UAGGGAAUCUUCGGCAAUGGGGGCAACCCUGACCGAGCAACGCCGCGUGAGUGAAGAAGGUUUUCGGAUCGUAAAGCUCUGUUGUAAGAGAAGAACGUGUGUGAGAGUGGAAAGUUCACACAGUGACGGUGACUUACCAGAAAGGGACGGCUAACUACGUGCCAGCAGCCGCGGUAAUACGUAGGUCCCGAGCGUUGUCCGGAUUUAUUGGGCGUAAAGCGAGCGCCGGCGGUUUAAUAAGUCUGAAGUUAAAGGCAGUGGCUUAACCAUUGUUCGCUUUGGAAACUGUUAAACUUGAGUGCAGAAGGGGAGAGUGGAAUUCCAUGUGUAGCGGUGAAAUGCGUAGAUAUAUGGAGGAACACCGGUGGCGAAAGCGGCUCUCUGGUCUGUAACUGACGCUGAGGCUCGAAAGCGUGGGGAGCAAACAGG
Molecule: ribosomal RNA, 429 nt
Filed under: bacterium
Lineage: Bacteria
Description: partial 16S ribosomal RNA
Rfam family: Bacterial small subunit ribosomal RNA
Source: RNAcentral